Molecule: long non-coding RNA, 353 nt
Filed under: Homo sapiens (human)
Lineage: Eukaryota; Metazoa; Chordata; Mammalia; Primates; Hominidae
Description: non-protein coding LINC00927:38
Source: RNAcentral
GCCUGACUGGACACUGAAAAAGAGGUGAAGAGAUGAGGCGAUAGAACAAAAGAACAGAAAGAUAAUGAAGCUGAGACUAACAUAAUUAUGUAUGCAGCCACAAAUGGAGCACAAAGCAAUUACUGCUUGUGGGAAUUUGAGAGAUGCUCUUUGAAGAGGUGUGAGGGAAUCAGUAAUACUUGCAGUGACUUUUAAGGAGGUGGAGUGUGCUGAUGAAGAUGCCACAAAGAACUGAUGGGAAGUUAUUCCUCUCCCCAACUGCUAUUGUAUCCUUCCUGUAGUGCUGUCUCUGCUUUUUGCAUCUUGCCCAGUAUAUUAUGACACAAAUAAAAAUUCUCUUUUCAUCAUCUUGC